AUUGAACGCUGGCGGCAUGCCUUACACAUGCAAGUCGAACGGUAACAGGUCUUCGGAUGCUGACGAGUGGCGAACGGGUGAGUAAUACAUCGGAACGUGCCCAGACGUGGGGGAUAACGAGGCGAAAGCUUUGCUAAUACCGCAUACGAUCUAAGGAUGAAAGCAGGGGACCGCAAGGCCUUGCGCGUUUGGAGCGGCCGAUGGCAGAUUAGGUAGUUGGUGGGAUAAAAGCUUACCAAGCCGACGAUCUGUAGCUGGCCUGAGAGGACGACCAGCCACACUGGGACUGAGACACGGCCCAGACUCCUACGGGAGGCAGCAGUGGGGAAUUUUGGACAAUGGGCGAAAGCCUGAUCCAGCAAUGCCGCGUGCAGGAUGAAGGCCUUCGGGUUGUAAACUGCUUUUGUACGGAACGAAAAGGCUCUGGCUAAUACCUGGGGCACAUGACGGUACCGUAAGAAUAAGCACCGGCUAACUACGUG
RNAcentral lists this ribosomal RNA (482 nucleotides) under uncultured bacterium. RNAcentral's name for it is "partial 16S ribosomal RNA". It matches the Rfam family "Bacterial small subunit ribosomal RNA", at positions 30 to 507 of the family's 1533-position model. The record is from RNAcentral.